UACGUAGGUGGCGAGCGUUGUCCGGAUUUACUGGGCGUAAAGAGCGCGCAGGCGGUCGUACAAGUCGCGUGUGAAAGCCCCUGGCUCAACUGGGGAGGGUCACGCGAUACUGUUCGACUCGAAGGCAGGAGAGGGAAGUGGAAUUCCCGGUGUAGUGGUGAAAUGCGUAGAUAUCGGGAGGAACACCAGUGGCGAAGGCGGGUCUCUGGGCCGAUACUGACGCUGAGGAGCGAAAGCGUGGGGAGCGAACAGG
Molecule: ribosomal RNA, 253 nt
Filed under: uncultured bacterium
Lineage: Bacteria
Description: partial 16S ribosomal RNA
Rfam family: Bacterial small subunit ribosomal RNA
Source: RNAcentral